Molecule: ribosomal RNA, 433 nt
Filed under: uncultured bacterium
Lineage: Bacteria
Description: partial 16S ribosomal RNA
Rfam family: Bacterial small subunit ribosomal RNA
Source: RNAcentral
AACGAACGCUGGCGGCAUGCCUAACACAUGCAAGUCGAACGAAGGCUUCGGCCUUAGUGGCGCACGGGUGCGUAACGCGUGGGAAUCUGCCCUUUGGUUCGGAAUAACAGCUGGAAACGGCUGCUAAUACCGGAUGAUGACUAAAGUCCAAAGAUUUAUCGCCAGAGGAUGAGCCCGCGUUGGAUUAGGUAGUUGGUGGGGUAAAGGCCUACCAAGCCGACGAUCCAUAGCUGGUCUGAGAGGAUGAUCAGCCACACUGGGACUGAGACACGGCCCAGACUCCUACGGGAGGCAGCAGUGGGGAAUAUUGGACAAUGGGCGCAAGCCUGAUCCAGCAAUGCCGCGUGAGUGAUGAAGGCACUAGGGUUGUAAAGCUCUUUUACCCGGGAAGAUAAUGACUGUACCGGGAGAAUAAGCCCCGGCUAACUCCGUG